UAGGGAAUCUUCCGCAAUGGGCGAAAGCCUGACGGAGCAACGCCGCGUGAGUGAUGAAGGUCUUCGGAUCGUAAAACUCUGUUAUUAGGGAAGAACAAAUGUGUAAGUAACUAUGCACGUCUUGACGGUACCUAAUCAGAAAGCCACGGCUAACUACGUGCCAGCAGCCGCGGUAAUACGUAGGUGGCAAGCGUUAUCCGGAAUUAUUGGGCGUAAAGCGCGCGUAGGGGGUUUUUUAAGUCUGAUGUGAAAGCCCACGGCUCAACCGUGGAGGGUCAUUGGAAACUGGAAAACUAGAGUGCAGAAGAGGAAAGUGGAAUUCCAUGUGUAGCGGUGAAAUGCGCAGAGAUAUGGAGGAACACCAGUGGCGAAGGCGACUUUCUGGUCUGUAACUGACGCUGAUGUGCGAAAGCGUGGGGAUCAAACAGG
This 429-nucleotide ribosomal RNA is filed under the name Actinomycetes bacterium. Its description in RNAcentral is "Actinobacteria bacterium partial 16S ribosomal RNA". It matches the Rfam family "Bacterial small subunit ribosomal RNA", at positions 355 to 776 of the family's 1533-position model. The record is from RNAcentral. Lineage: Bacteria; Bacillati; Actinomycetota; Actinomycetes.